UAUAUAUUGUGUUGGCCAAAAAGUUUGUUCAGGUUUUUCCUAUGACGUUAUGGAAAAAUUCAAGCAAACGUUUUGGACAAACUAAUAU
RNAcentral lists this microRNA precursor (88 nucleotides) under Ovis aries (sheep). RNAcentral describes it as "miRNA (ENSOARG00000023641.1)". Lineage: Eukaryota; Metazoa; Chordata; Mammalia; Artiodactyla; Bovidae. The record is from RNAcentral.